AGGAACAUACAGACUCAGGUUGGGUGAGAGUGACUCCUGCAGAAUGGGACCAGCAAGGGAGAUCAGUUAGGGGCUUGCCGCAGUCACAACACAGAAGAGCAAAUGUGGCUUCAACUGAAAUUCUUCCGCUGGAGACAGUGAAGAGCACAACUCAGAGCUAUGUCACAUUUGAUAAUAGGGCUGAAGACUUACCUACUGGCCUGGGUAUUCAGAACCCAAGAGUAAGGAAGAAGAUGACUGGCUGUUGGGUUCGGAGCCUGAGUCACCUAACAGGCUCAGUGAUCCAAGAGGACUGGCUCUGAAAGACCAGGUCAGAGUAAGGUUUGGAGGACUGAAAGGACUAGGGUAGAGGGGAGAGUUCAUGAUGGGAAGUCACCAAGAUUAAGUGAAGAGUUGGGAAAAGAAAGAGCAGGUGACUCCUUUGUGAGAAUUUCUGAAGCGUAAGAACUUCCAUUGUCUCCUUCGAGCCUCACUGUCGAGGAUGGACAUAGUCCUGUGCUCAGACACCCUCUGCUGCCUGCAUCAAAAGAACACUCAAUUCUGCUCCAGGAGCCCUGGUCACUUGCUGGCUGAGUCCCUGAGCAAGCUGCUUCUCAAGGCCUCGGUUUCCCUGUGGGCAAAGCGGUAAAGAUGAGUCAGGAUUUCAGACCCUAGUGAUCUCCAGUGUUUUUCUGGGGCCAGAAUGUUGACCUUAUAAAUCCUUGCAGGCCCUGGUCAAGAGUGGCACAGGGUGACCAAUGUGGCUGUUGUGUGGAGUUACCGAGGGAAUGAAGUAGAGCCGGCAAGUAGCCAGGACCACCUAGAUAAGGACCAACAAGGGUUGCUCAGGAUGAGAAUGACAAAGUCAAGAGUCCCAACCCCAUAUCCCUUCCCCAAAUCCUCCCCAGAAUUGUUUUUCAUUCUGUUGCAGUGCUCAAGUGCCUUCCUCUUGUCACCUGAGGCUUCCAUCUGCUUCUACCCUCUGAAGGAUCUCAUCCCAUCACUGAAGACUCCUAAGUCUCUAACUCCUGCCCACCUGGUCUUCUCGGGAAACUAAGACCCACCAGGCUCCUCUACUUGGAUAUUUAGCAGGCAUCUCACACCUAAUGUAUUCAAAGCAUGUCCCCUGAAGCCAGCUCCUUGGUAUUCCAUGAUACCAGCACUGGACAUGAACACCGCGAAGAUAAAGGAUCAUCUCAUUCCCCUCUGUCACUCCCUGCGGUGCCUAGCAUGGACAAUGACACAGCACCAUUAUCUACUGAGGAAAGAAGGGGGACACGAUGGAGCCCAGCUGCUGCAAUGAAGAAAGGCCUCAGUGGAGCCUGAGCUGCUAACACUGUCAUCACGUACCUCCAGUGACCAGAAUUUUGAG
Molecule: non-coding RNA, 1351 nt
Organism: Cricetulus griseus (Chinese hamster)
Lineage: Eukaryota; Metazoa; Chordata; Mammalia; Rodentia; Cricetidae
Source: RefSeq, a predicted model, not a curated record